UCCGGUUUAUCACCGGCAGUCUCCUUAGAGUCCCCACCUUAACGUGCUGGUAACUAAGGAUAAGGGUUGCGCUCGUUACGGGACUUAACCCAACAUCUCACGACACGAGCUGACGACAGCCAUGCAGCACCUGUGUUCUGGUUCCCGAAGGCACCCCCUGAUCUCUCAAGGGUUCCAGACAUGUCAAGGCCAGGUAAGGUUCUUCGCGUUGCAUCGAAUUAAACCACAUACUCCACCGCUUGUGCGGGCCCCCGUCAAUUCCUUUGAGUUUCAGUCUUGCGACCGUACUUCCCAGGCGGCGAACUUAACGCGUUAGCUUCGAUACUGAGUGCCAAGUUGCACCCAACAUCCAGUUCGCAUCGUUUAGGGCGUGGACUAC
Molecule: unclassified non-coding RNA, 379 nt
Filed under: uncultured Lysobacteraceae bacterium
Lineage: Bacteria; Pseudomonadati; Pseudomonadota; Gammaproteobacteria; Lysobacterales; Lysobacteraceae
Description: uncultured Xanthomonadaceae bacterium contains 16S-23S intergenic spacer region
Source: RNAcentral